This 82-nucleotide transfer RNA is filed under the name Parcubacteria group bacterium QH_9_35_7. Its description in RNAcentral is "tRNA-Leu". It matches the Rfam family "tRNA". From Rfam's summary of the family: Transfer RNA (tRNA) molecules are approximately 80 nucleotides in length. Their secondary structure includes four short double-helical elements and three loops (D, anti-codon, and T loops). The record is from RNAcentral.
GCUGGAGUGGCGGAAUUGGCAGACGCGCAUGGCUUAGGACCAUGUGCCUUCGGGCGUGUGGGUUCGAAUCCCACCUCCAGCA